Molecule: ribosomal RNA, 840 nt
Filed under: uncultured bacterium
Lineage: Bacteria
Description: bacterial SSU rRNA
Rfam family: Bacterial small subunit ribosomal RNA
Source: RNAcentral
GGCUCAGGACGAACGCGGGCGGCGUGCCUAACACAUGCAAGUCGAGCGAGAGACUUCGGUCUCUAGCGGCGGACGGGUGAGUAACACGUGGGUAACCUGCCUCAUAGAGGGGGAUAGCCUUCCGAAAGGAAGAUUAAUACCGCAUAACGUAUUUUGGUCGCAUGACUGAAAUAUCAAAGGAGUAAUCCGCUAUGAGAUGGACCCGCGGCGCAUUAGCUAGUUGGUGAGGUAACGGCUCACCAAGGCGACGAUGCGUAGCCGACCUGAGAGGGUGAUCGGCCACAUUGGAACUGAGAUACGGUCCAAACUCCUACGGGAGGCAGCAGUGGGGAAUAUUGCACAAUGGGCGAAAGCCUGAUGCAGCAACGCCGCGUGAGUGAUGAAGGCCUUCGGGUUGUAAAGCUCUGUCUUUGGGGACGAUAAUGACGGUACCCAAGGAGGAAGCCACGGCUAACUACGUGCCAGCAGCCGCGGUAAUACGUAGGUGGCAAGCGUUGUCCGGAUUUACUGGGCGUAAAGGAUGCGUAGGUGGAUAUUUAAGUCAGAUGUGAAAUACCCGAGCUUAACUUGGGUGCUGCAUUUGAAACUGGAUAUCUAGAGUGCAGGAGAGGUAAGUGGAAUUCCUAGUGUAGCGGUGAAAUGCGUAGAGAUUAGGAAGAACACCAGUGGCGAAGGCGACUUACUGGACUGUAACUGACACUGAGGCAUGAAAGCGUGGGGAGCAAACAGGAUUAGAUACCCUGGUAGUCCACGCCGUAAACGAUGAGUACUAGGUGUAGGAGGUAUCGACUCCUUCUGUGCCGCAGUUAACACAAUAAGUACUCCGCCUGGGAAGUACGG